ACGAACGCUGGCGGCGUGCUUAACACAUGCAAGUCGAACGGAAAGGCCCUGCUUUUGUGGGGUGCUCGAGUGGCGAACGGGUGAGUAACACGUGAGUAACCUGCCCUUGACUUUGGGAUAACUUCAGGAAACUGGGGCUAAUACCGGAAAGGAGCUCCUGCUGCAUGGUGGGGGUUGGAAAGUUUCGGCGGUUGGGGAUGGACUCGCGGCUUAUCAGCUUGUUGGUGGGGUAGUGGCUUACCAAGGCUUUGACGGGUAGCCGGCCUGAGAGGGUGACCGGCCACAUUGGGACUGAGAUACGGCCCAGACUCCUACGGGAGGCAGCAGUGGGGAAUAUUGCACAAUGGGCGGAAGCCUGAUGCAGCAACGCCGCGUGCGUGAUGACGGCCUUCGGGUUGUAAACCGCUUUCGCCUGUGACGAAGCGUGAGUGACGGUAAUGGGUAAAGAAGCACCGGCUAACUACGUG
This 467-nucleotide ribosomal RNA is filed under the name uncultured bacterium. RNAcentral's name for it is "partial 16S ribosomal RNA". It matches the Rfam family "Bacterial small subunit ribosomal RNA", at positions 29 to 507 of the family's 1533-position model. The record is from RNAcentral.